This 408-nucleotide ribosomal RNA is filed under the name uncultured bacterium. RNAcentral describes it as "partial 16S ribosomal RNA". It matches the Rfam family "Bacterial small subunit ribosomal RNA", at positions 28 to 526 of the family's 1533-position model. The record is from RNAcentral.
GACGAACGCUGGCGGCGUGCUUAACACAUGCAAGUCGAACGGAGUGGCGAACGGGUGAGUAACACGUGGGUGAUCUGCCUUGCACUACGGGCUAAGCUUGGGAAACUGGGUCUAAUACCGGAUAGUGCAAGAUUAGCUCGCGGCCUAUCAGCUUGUUGGUUGGGUAAUGGCCUACCAAGGCGUCGCCGGGUAGCCGGCCUGAGAGGGUGUACGGCCAAAUUGGGACUGAGAUACGGGCCAGAAUCCUACGGGAGGGAGGAGUUGGGAAUAUUGGAAAAUGGGCGGAAAGCUGAAGCCGGGGAGGCGGGUGGGGGAUGAAGGCCUUCGGGUUGUAAACUCAUUUCGACAGGGACGCGGUACCUGUAUAAGAAGCACCGGCUAACUACGUGCCAGCAGCCGCGGUAAUUC